This 335-nucleotide non-coding RNA is filed under the name Pteropus alecto (black flying fox). The record is from RNAcentral. Lineage: Eukaryota; Metazoa; Chordata; Mammalia; Chiroptera; Pteropodidae.
AAUUCCAGCGAGAGGCAGAGGGAGCGGGCGGACCCGUCAGGGUUGCAGAGCGGAGAGAGCCGAGCGAGCCAGGCGAGCGGAGUCGCGCUCCGGGCGCCCAGGGCAGGGAGAGGAUCCAGAGUGAAAGGAAGGCUUCGCCGCCGGCCCAGCCGCCCCCUGCCCACCCUUCCCGCCACCCUCUGCCGGCGAUCCGCACGCCCCGCCGCAUCCACGAAACUUUGCCCACUGCAGCAGGCGGGCACAUUCCCCUGGAACUUACAACACCCCAGCGAGAACGCGACUCUUCGGACGCGGGGAAGCUCUUUAGCCCAUUUGGGGAGACAUCUCCCCGCCCC